Small nucleolar RNA from Lepidothrix coronata (blue-crowned manakin), 71 nucleotides. Ensembl annotates it as small nucleolar RNA, C/D box 99. NCBI's taxonomy places the organism in Eukaryota, Metazoa, Chordata, Aves, Passeriformes, Pipridae. The record is from Ensembl.
CCUGGUCUGUGAUGACUCCUGUGUCUGGAGACUGUUGGAUGAGUCCUGCGGAUAUGGGGCUGAGGCCAGGC